RNAcentral lists this ribosomal RNA (500 nucleotides) under uncultured bacterium. RNAcentral describes it as "partial 16S ribosomal RNA". It matches the Rfam family "Bacterial small subunit ribosomal RNA", at positions 30 to 523 of the family's 1533-position model. The record is from RNAcentral.
AUUGAACGCUGGCGGAAUGCUUUACACAUGCAAGUCGAACGGCAGCACGGACUUCGGUCUGGUGGCGAGUGGCGAACGGGUGAGUAAUGUAUCGGAACGUGCCCAGUCGUGGGGGAUAACGUAGUGAAAAUUACGCUAAUACCGCAUACGAGCUAUGGAUGAAAGCGGGGGAUCGCAAGACCUCGCGCGAUUGGAGCGGCCGAUAUCAGAGUGAGUAGGUGGUGGGGUAAAGGCCCACCAAGCCAACGAUCUGUAGCUGGUCCGAGGUGACGACCAGCCACACUGUAACUGAGGAACGGUCCAGACUCCUACGGGACGCCGCAGUGGGGAAUGUUUGACAAUGGGCGUAAGCCUGAUCCAGCCAUUCCGCGUGCAGGAUGAAGGCCCUCGGGUUGUAAACUUCUUUUGUACAGAACGAAAAGGUUUCUACUAAUACUAGGAGCUCAUGACGGUACUGUAAGAAUAAGCACCGGCUAACUACGUGCCAGCCGCCGCCGUAA